This 2006-nucleotide ribosomal RNA is filed under the name human gut metagenome. Its description in RNAcentral is "bacterial LSU rRNA". It matches the Rfam family "Bacterial large subunit ribosomal RNA", at positions 1 to 1999 of the family's 2925-position model. The record is from RNAcentral.
ACAAGCAAACAAGAGCAUCGGGUGGAUGCCUUGGCGUCGGAAGGCGAUGAAAGACGCGGUAAGCUGCGAUAAGCCUCGGGGAGGAGCUAAACAUCCUUUGAUCCGGGGAUUUCUGAAUGGGGAAACCCGGCGGGAGUCAUGUCCCGUCGCCUGCAGGUGAAUACAUAGCCUGCAAGGAGCCAACUCGGGGAAGUGAAACAUCUCAGUACCCGAAGGAAAGGAAAUCAAACGAGACUCCCUCAGUAGCGGCGAGCGAAGGGGGAAGAGCCCAAACCGUGCGGAUUCGUCCGUGCGGGGUUGUAGGACCGGCAUAAGUGAUUCGCGAGUAGGCAGGGGAAGGAGGCUGGAAAGCCUCGCCAAAGCGGGUGAAAGCCCCGUACCCGAACCUGAAAACGACGCUGCCGGCACCUGAGUACCGCGAGGCACGUGAAACCUCGUGGGAAUCUGGGAGGACCAUCUUCCAAGGCUAAGUACUAACCGACGACCGAUAGUGCACCAGUACCGUGAGGGAAAGGUGAAAAGAACCCCUGUCAGGGGAGUGAAAUAGAAUCUGAAACCUGAUGCUUACAAGCUGUGGGAGCCGGGCAUGCCCGGUGACCACGUGCCUUUUGCAUAAUGAGUCAGCGAGUUGAUCUGUACUGCGAGGUUAAGCGCAAGUGGAGCCGUAGCGAAAGCGAGUCUGAAUAGGGCGACAAGUAGUGCGGAUCAGACCCGAAACCGGGUGAUCUAUCCAUGAGCAGGUUGAAGCAAGGGUAAAACCUUGUGGAGGACCGAACCAAUAACGGCUGAAAACGUUUUGGAUGACUUGUGGAUAGGGGUGAAAGGCCAAUCAAACCCGGUGAUAGCUGGUUCUCCCCGAAAUAUAUUGAGGUAUAGCCUCGUGGAUUGUCUAUUGGAGGUAAAGCACUGACAGAGCUAGGGGUCCUACCAGAUUACCAAACUCUUUCAAACUCAGAAUGCCAAUCAGAUGUACCACGGGAGUCAGACGGCGGGUGCUAAGGUUCGUCGUCGAGAGGGUAAGAGCCCAGAUCAACAGCUAAGGCCUCCAAAUCUAUGCUCAGUGGUGAAGGUGGUGACGUUGUAGAGACACCCAGGACGUUGGCUUAGAAGCAGCCAUCGUUUAAAGAAAGCGUAAUAGCUCACUGGUCUAAUGACGUUGCGCCGAAAAUGUAACGGGGCUAAGCAUAGUGCCGAAGCUUUGAAUUCCGCGUAUGCGGUCUGGUAGGGGAGCGUUCUUCAUGGGCUGAAGGCGUGCUGUAAAGCACGUUGGACUGUGGAGAAGUGAUUAUGCUGACAUGAGUAACGAUAAAACGGGUGAAAAACCCGUUCGCCGUAAACCCAAGGUUUCCUGGGUAAAGGUAAUCUUCCCAGGGUUAGUCGGCCCCUAAGGCGAGGCUGAAAGGCGUAGCUGAUGGGAAACGAGUUAAUAUUCUCGUACUUGUGUGUCCGCGCGAUGGAGGGACGCAGGAAGGUAAACGGUCCGGGUGUUGGUAUACCCGGUGCAAGCAGGUAGGCGUGCAGCACAGGCAAAUCCGUGCUGCUCUACGCUGAGACGCGAGUCCGUGGCCGCAAGGCCUGAAGCCGUUGAGCCUCUACUGCCUAGAAAAGCUCCUAAGUAUAGGAUACGCAAACCGUACUGCAAACCAACUCAGGUGGGUGGGAUGAAUAAUCCAAGGCGCUCGAGAGAACUCUGGCCAAGGAACUCGGCAAAAUAACCCCGUACCUUCGGAAGAAGGGGUGCUCUUUUGGGUAAAGUUGAUUCACUUAACCAGCCCGAGGGAGCCGCAGAGAAAUGGUGGUGGCGACUGUUUACUAAAAACAUAGGUCUGUGCCAAGUCGUAAAGACGACGUAUACGGACUGACGCCUGCCCGGUGCCGGAAGGUUAAAAGGAGGGGUCAGCGCAAGCGAAGCUCCGAAUUGAAGCCCCGGUAAACGGCGGCCGUAACUAUAACGGUCCUAAGGUAGCGAAAUUCCUUGUCGGGUAAGUUCCGACCUGCACGAAUGG